UGGGGAAUCUUAGACAAUGGGGAAACCCUGAUCCAGCCAUGCCGCGUGAGCGAUGAAGGCCUUAGGGUUGUAAAGCUCUUUCACCGGUGACGAUGAUGACGGUAGCCGGAGAAGAAGCCCCGGCUAACUCCGUGCCAGCAGCCGCGGUAAUACGGAGGGGGCAAGCGUUGUUCGGAAUUACUGGGCGUAAAGGGCGCGCAGGCGGUCUGUUGCGUCAGGCGUGAAAGCCCCGGGCUCAACCCGGGAACUGCGCUUGAUACGGGCAGGCUUGAAGCCGGCAGAGGGUGGUGGAAUUCCCAGUGUAGAGGUGAAAUUCGUAGAUAUUGGGAGGAAUACCGGUGGCGAAGGCGACCGCCUGGACGGGUACUGACACUGAGGCGCGAAAGCGUGGGGAGCAAACAGGAUUAGAUACCCCCGUAGUCC
RNAcentral lists this ribosomal RNA (423 nucleotides) under uncultured prokaryote. RNAcentral describes it as "bacterial SSU rRNA". It matches the Rfam family "Bacterial small subunit ribosomal RNA", at positions 355 to 796 of the family's 1533-position model. The record is from RNAcentral.